RNAcentral lists this ribosomal RNA (500 nucleotides) under uncultured bacterium. RNAcentral describes it as "partial 16S ribosomal RNA". It matches the Rfam family "Bacterial small subunit ribosomal RNA", at positions 30 to 523 of the family's 1533-position model. The record is from RNAcentral.
AUUGAACGCUGGCGGCAUGCCUUACACAUGCAAGUCGAACGGCAGCGCGGACUUCGGUCUGGCGGCGAGUGGCGAACGGGUGAGUAACAUAUCGGAACGUGCCCUGGAGUGGGGGAUAACUAGUCGAAAGACUAGCUAAUACCGCAUACGAUCGACGGAUGAAAGUGGGGGAUCGCAAGACCUCAUGCUCGUGGAGCGGCCGAUAUCUGAUUAGCUAGUUGGUGGGGUAAAGGCCUACCAAGGCAUCGAUCAGUAGCUGGUCUGAGAGGACGACCAGCCACACUGGGACUGAGACACGGCCCAGACUCCUACGGGAGGCAGCAGUGGGGAAUUUUGGACAAUGGGGGCAACCCUGAUCCAGCAAUGCCGCGUGAGUGAAGAAGGCCUUCGGGUUGUAAAGCUCUUUUGUCAGGGAAGAAACGGUCCGGGCUAAUAUCCUGGGCUAAUGACGGUACCUGGAGAAUAAGCACCGGCUAACUACGUGCCAGCAGCCGCAGUAA